CUGGUUGGUACGGGUAACGGGGAAUUAGGGUUCGAUUCCGGAGAGGGAGCCUGAGAAACGGCUACCACAUCCAAGGAAGGCAGCAGGCGCGCAAAUUACCCAAUCCCGACACGGGGAGGUAGUGACAAUAAAUAACAACACAGGGCUCUUUCGGGUCUUGUUAUUGGAAUGAGUACGAUUUAAAUCUCCUAACGAGGAACAAUUGGAGGGCAAGUCUGGUGCCAGCAGCCGCGGUAAUUCCAGCUCCAAUAGCGUAUAUUAAAGUUGUUGCAGUUAAAAAGCUCGUAGUUGAACUUCAGGCCUGGCUGGAUGGUCCGCCUUCUGGGUGAGUACUGUCUGUGGUCGGGUCCUACCUUCUGGCGAAGCGUCAUGGCCUUAACCGGCCGUGGCGGGGAGCCAGGACUUUUACUGUGAAAAAAUUAGAGUGUUCAAAGCAGGCACGCGCUUGAAUACAUUAGCAUGGAAUAAUGGAAUAGGACAGUGGUUCUAUUUGUUGGUUUCUAGGACCGUUGUAAUGAUUAAUAGGGAUAGUUGGGGGCAUUAGUAUUCAAUUGUCAGAGGUGAAAUUCUUGGAUUUAUUGAAGACUAACUACUGCGAAAGCAUUUGCCAAGGAUGUUUUCAUUAAUCAAGAACGAAAGUUAGGGGAUCGAAGACGAUCAGAUACCGUCGUAGUCUUAACCAUAAACUAUGCCGACUAGGAAUCGGGCGAUGUUGACAAAAUGACGCGCUCGGCACCUCAUGGGAAACCAAAGUGUUUGGGUUCAAGGGCGACACGCGAAUUCGAUAUCAAGCUUCAGGUCUGCAUCGAGCCUCAG
Molecule: ribosomal RNA, 816 nt
Filed under: Paraglomus occultum
Lineage: Eukaryota; Fungi; Glomeromycota; Glomeromycetes; Paraglomerales; Paraglomeraceae
Description: SSU rRNA
Rfam family: Eukaryotic small subunit ribosomal RNA
Source: RNAcentral